UAGUUAUAACUGAUUUUAUUGACAGGGUACAACAGGUGUACACGAACUAGAAAUGUAUGAAGAAACACAUGACAUUGUCUUUUUCUUGUUAAAAGGCGCAAUCAGAAUCUGCUUUUUCCAGAUCAGCACGAUCCUGGCUCAAAUCAACUUUAAGGAAAAUAAGUUCGCUGGAAACUGUAGAGUAUCAAUAUACCCUUUGGCUAUUGUUGGUGAUCUCCAACCCCCAUGUCUUUUCAACGUGGUUAUAUCUGCCUCAGAGUCCACUAACAACGUAGUAGAUCUACAAAAAUGCCCAGUAAAUGCGUGUGGGUAUGGUAAUUUUGAAAUUAUGCAACUUAUUUGUAAUUUUUCCAAAUAUAUGGAUACCAAGCCGUUU
Molecule: long non-coding RNA, 376 nt
Organism: Leptinotarsa decemlineata (Colorado potato beetle)
Lineage: Eukaryota; Metazoa; Arthropoda; Insecta; Coleoptera; Chrysomelidae
Source: RefSeq, a predicted model, not a curated record